This 501-nucleotide long non-coding RNA is filed under the name Junco hyemalis (dark-eyed junco). RNAcentral describes it as "lncRNA (ENSJHYG00000011806.1)". The record is from RNAcentral. Lineage: Eukaryota; Metazoa; Chordata; Aves; Passeriformes; Passerellidae.
AUGGGGAGGGGAAAUAUUCAGUGUCUUAGGACUCAUUCCAUUUUCAUGUGGUUUGUUCUGCUGUCAGUGGUGUGGGAGGAAAUUCCUGUCGAAUAACUGAGGAGACACUGUGUGCGAAAGUACCACAGCUCAGGUUGAGCAAUACAACAGAAGGUUUUGAUAACCUGUCUUCUGAUGCCAAGAGAUGUGACGAGAACAAAAGGAGGAGGACCAUGAAUGAGCACUUAUUUAUGUUUUUGUACCCAAAAUGAUGAGCGCAUCAGAAGAAGAAAAAAAAUGUUGCUUUGAAUGGCAUUCUUGAAGUAUUGGAAAGGUAAUGAAGAGGAACAAGGUGACCAAACUGCCAGACAUGUUAAACCAGCACCAUUAUGCACUUGUUAAUUAUUAUUUUUUUUUAAAUCUCUAGUCUGGUUAGGCUGAGGCACCCUUAUGCUGCAGUCUGCAAUUCUUGCUGUCUCUGUAAAACACAGUCCCACACUCCAAAACCUGCAAGGUUCGUGG